GUGUCAGCCGCCGCGGUAAUACGUAGGGGGCAAGCGUUGUCCGGAAUUAUUGGGCGUAAAGAGCUCGUAGGCGGCCCACUAAGUCGAAUGUGAAAUCUCACGGCUCAACCGUGAAAUCGCAUCCGAUACUGGCGGGCUUGAGGCAGGUAGGGGAAGGUGGAAUUCCUGGUGUAGCGGUGAAAUGCGCAGAUAUCAGGAGGAACACCGGUGGCGAAGGCGGCCUUCUGGGCCUGUUCUGACGCUGAGGAGCGAAAGCGUGGGGAGCAAACAGGAUUAGAUACCCUGGUAGUCCACGCUGUAAACGAUGGGUGCUAGGUGUGGGGGGUUAUCCACUCCCUCCGUGCCGCAGCUAACGCAUUAAGCACCCCGCCUGGGGAUUACGACCGCAAGGUUAAA
Molecule: ribosomal RNA, 396 nt
Filed under: uncultured bacterium
Lineage: Bacteria
Description: bacterial SSU rRNA
Rfam family: Bacterial small subunit ribosomal RNA
Source: RNAcentral